GCUGGGUAUGGUGGCACAGACCUAUAAUCCCAGCAGCUCUGGAGGCUGAGGCAGGAGGAUUGCAAGUUCAAAGCCAGCCUCAGUAAAAGCAAGGCACUAAGCAACUCAGUGAGACCCUGUCUCUA
Molecule: small RNA, 125 nt
Filed under: Marmota monax (woodchuck)
Lineage: Eukaryota; Metazoa; Chordata; Mammalia; Rodentia; Sciuridae
Source: RNAcentral